Molecule: ribosomal RNA, 441 nt
Filed under: uncultured bacterium
Lineage: Bacteria
Description: partial 16S ribosomal RNA
Rfam family: Bacterial small subunit ribosomal RNA
Source: RNAcentral
CCUACGGGUGGCAGCAGUGGGGGAUAUUGCACAAUGGGGGGAACCCUGAUGCAGCGACGCCGCGUGGGUGAAGGAGUGCUUCGGCAUGUAAAGCCCUAUCUGCAGGGAAGAAGCAAGACGUUACCUUACUAAGAAGCCCCGGCUAACUACGUGCCAGCAGCCGAGGUAAUAAGGAGGGGGCGAGCGUUAUCCGGAUUCACUGGGGGUAAAGGGGGCGUAUAGGGGCAAGCAAGCCAGGGGGGAAAGCCCGGGGCCCAACCCCGGGACUGCCGUUGAAACUGCAUGGCUGGAGUGGGCGAGGGGCAGGCGGAAUGCCUGGUGUAGCGGUGAAAUGCGUAGAUAUCACGAGGAACACCGGCGGCGAAGGCAGCCUGCUGGACCGCGACUGACGUUGAAGCUCGAAAGCGUGGGGAGCGAACAGGAUUAGAUACCCGAGUAGUC